RNAcentral lists this microRNA precursor (108 nucleotides) under Octodon degus (degu). Its description in RNAcentral is "microRNA 501 (ENSODEG00000022048.1)". The stretch from base 10 to 93 matches the Rfam family "mir-500 microRNA precursor family". The record is from RNAcentral. Lineage: Eukaryota; Metazoa; Chordata; Mammalia; Rodentia; Octodontidae.
UUUUUCUUUGCUCUUCCUCUCUAAUCCUUUGUUCCUGGGUGAGAGUGAUUUCAAAAUGUAAUACACCCAGGCAAGGAUUCUGAGAGGGUUAGCCUCUUCUGUGUGAAG